UACACACAAGGAUGUCUGCCUAUGCGUCGAUGGGACGAGCUCAAUGCGUUCUUCCGUAAAACUGGAGCUAAAGUCAUCUUUGGACUGAAUGCACUCUCGGGGCGUUCCAUAAAACCUAACGGUGAAGCCAUAGGAGCCUGGGAUUCCACCAAUGCUGAAUCUUUUAUCCGGUUUACAGCACAGAAUAACCACACCGUAGACGGUUGGGAGCUCGGCAAUGAGUUGUGUGGAAGUGGUAUUGGUGCAC
Molecule: non-coding RNA, 247 nt
Organism: Camelina sativa (false flax)
Lineage: Eukaryota; Viridiplantae; Streptophyta; Magnoliopsida; Brassicales; Brassicaceae
Source: RefSeq, a predicted model, not a curated record